UACGUAGGGUGCAAGCGUUAAUCGGAAUUACUGGGCGUAAAGCGUGCGCAGGCGGUUCGCCAAGUCUGAUGUGAAAGCCCCGGGCUCAACCUGGGAACUGCAUUGGAAACUAACGGGCUCGAGUGUGGCAGAGGGGGGUGGAAUUCCACGUGUAGCAGUGAAAUGCGUAGAGAUGUGGAGGAACACCGAUAGCGAAGGCAGCCCCCUGGGCUAACACUGACGCUCAGGCACGAAAGCGUGGGGAGCAAACAGG
RNAcentral lists this ribosomal RNA (253 nucleotides) under uncultured bacterium. RNAcentral describes it as "partial 16S ribosomal RNA". It matches the Rfam family "Bacterial small subunit ribosomal RNA", at positions 524 to 776 of the family's 1533-position model. The record is from RNAcentral.